RNAcentral lists this ribosomal RNA (404 nucleotides) under Fusobacteriota bacterium. RNAcentral describes it as "Fusobacteria bacterium partial 16S ribosomal RNA". It matches the Rfam family "Bacterial small subunit ribosomal RNA", at positions 355 to 776 of the family's 1533-position model. Lineage: Bacteria; Fusobacteriati; Fusobacteriota. The record is from RNAcentral.
UGGGGAAUAUUGCACAAUGGAGGGAACUCUGAUGCAGCGACGCCGCGUUAGUGAUGAAGGACUUCGUUUCGUAAAACUCUGUUCUAUGGGAAGAAAAGGACUGUACCAUAGGAGAAAGCUCCGGCUAAAUACGUGCCAGCAGCCGCGGUAAUACGUAUGGAGCGAGCGUUGUCCGGAAUUAUUGGGCGUAAAGGGUGCGCAGGCGGCUUUACAAGUUGGAUGUGAAAUAUUGUGGCUCAACCACAAACGUGCAUCCAAAACUGCAAAGCUUGAGUUAAGGAGAGGUAAGUGGAAUUCCUGGUGUAGCGGUGGAAUGCGUAGAUAUCAGGAGGAAUACCGGUGGCGAAGGCGACUUACUGGACUUAAACUGACGCUCAGGCACGAAAGCGUGGGGAGCAAACAGG